UACGGAGGAUCCGAGCGUUAUCCGGAUUUAUUGGGUUUAAAGGGUGCGUAGGCGGUUUGAUAAGUUAGAGGUGAAAUGUCGGGGCUCAACCCCGAAACUGCCUCUAAUACUGUUGGACUAGAGAAUAGUUGCGGUAGGCGGAAUGUAUGGUGUAGCGGUGAAAUGCUUAGAGAUCAUACAGAACACCGAUCGCGAAGGCAGCUUACCAAACUAUAUCUGACGUUGAGGCACGAAAGCGUGGGUAGCAAACAGG
This 253-nucleotide ribosomal RNA is filed under the name uncultured bacterium. Its description in RNAcentral is "partial 16S ribosomal RNA". It matches the Rfam family "Bacterial small subunit ribosomal RNA", at positions 524 to 776 of the family's 1533-position model. The record is from RNAcentral.